UACGGAGGAUCCAAGCGUUGUUCGGAUUCAUUGGGCGUAAAGCGCGCGCAGGCGGUCUUCCAAGUCAGUGGUGAAAGCCUGGAGCUCAACUCCAGAACUGCCAUUGAAACUGUUAGACUUGAGUACGAGAGAGGUGAGUGGAAUUCCCAGUGUAGAGGUGAAAUUCGUAGAUAUUGGGAAGAACACCGGUGGCGAAGGCGGCUCACUGGCUCGUAACUGACGCUCAGGCGCGACAGCGUGGGGAUCAAACAGG
This 253-nucleotide ribosomal RNA is filed under the name uncultured bacterium. RNAcentral's name for it is "partial 16S ribosomal RNA". It matches the Rfam family "Bacterial small subunit ribosomal RNA", at positions 524 to 776 of the family's 1533-position model. The record is from RNAcentral.